CUUGUCUGCAGCAGCAUUCUUUCAAAGGGAAGAUUCCCUGGUGAAUUCAUUAUUACACAGAAGUCCCACCCCCAUGAAACUGCUGUAGACACAUAACAGGAUUACUGUUCAAGAGUUUACUAGGAUGCAAGUAAAAUUGUUCCAGUCAGUCAGCAGCGAGCAUCUUUGAGUAAGCUCCACGAGACUCAUACAGCAGAUGCUUCUGUCUCUGUUCAUAACUGGCAGCCUUGUGACCCUGAAAUUCUAAGCUUGUUUUCAUGGGACAUCUAGAUCACCCUGCAGUCCCAGUGAUGAGGAUGUCUUAUCUGGUUCAGCAAUGAAGAGAAUCCUUGCUUCUCAAAGGAUUACAUUUUCUUGUGCAAUGCUCUGGAUCCAGAGGGGUUAAGCAGCAUAGGCAGAUGGAAAUUCAUCAAUCAAUAAACUCAAAUUCAGGAGGCAGAGAUAGGGUAAUGUAUUCCAUACAUUAUGCUUAUUUGCUAUAUACAUAUUGGUUUUGUGUAAUAAAAAACCUAGGCCAUGAAGGUAAGUUUCUAUUUACCUGG
This 542-nucleotide long non-coding RNA is filed under the name Zonotrichia albicollis (white-throated sparrow). RNAcentral describes it as "lncRNA (ENSZALG00000014451.1)". Lineage: Eukaryota; Metazoa; Chordata; Aves; Passeriformes; Passerellidae. The record is from RNAcentral.